CCCCACUCCCCAACAAACCCAAGCCCCAUUCCUCUCCUCUCUGAAAAUGAAGUGAAAAUUGGAAAUUGAGAGAACAAAGAACCCUAGCCCCCAGCCCCGCAACCACCGCAGCCCCAUAGCCCACAGCCACACUUCGUUGUCAUCACCGAACUCGUCUUCAUUAGGUAGAGGCGUCGCAUGCAGAAGCUCUGUCGCCAUCACAUGGGCUGUGUCGCCAUUGUAGGAAGCUCUGUCGCCGUCCUAGGAAGCUGUGUCACCGUCCUAGAAAGCUCCCUGCCGUCAUGUGAAAGCUCUAUGACCGUCGUCGUCUCUUCUAUUUGAGCGCUCUCUCUCUCUUUCUGUUUGUCGGUGUCGUCGUCUCCUCUGUCGUCGCCGUCACUCCCCUUCCUCCUCGCCGCCGUAGGUGGUGUCCUUUUUGUCCUUAAAGAGGCAGCUUCAUGGUGGAGGAGUGCUCUUCUGUGGAGGACAUUUUUCACCACAGCAGUAGUUGUUAUUGUUUUAAGAGCUACAAUUCAGCUUUGUGCCACCAGUAAAUGCAGCUUAUUCGGAGAAGGUGGUCUGAUAAUGUAUGAUGUUGGUUCUUCCAAGGUAAC
Non-coding RNA from Arachis ipaensis, 593 nucleotides. The record is from RefSeq and is a predicted model, not a curated record. NCBI's taxonomy places the organism in Eukaryota, Viridiplantae, Streptophyta, Magnoliopsida, Fabales, Fabaceae.